UGGGAGAUCAUAGCAAAGGUAUGGUGGUCUUGAUCCUUGUCUAAUUUUCCAUUCAAGGAGCCAAAUCCAAAGUUAUUUCAAAGUAUGAAAAAUCUAGGUUUUCACUCAAUCUCAUGGGUUCUUCCACCAAAUGGUUUUAAAAGGUUUCUAAUGGCACUUUAUGGUUAUAUUGUUGUUGUAUUGACGAUUUAAGAUGAAAAUACUCCAUGAACCCAUGAUUUCUUUCUAUUCCUAGUUUAUGCCUUUAUAAAGUGGGUUGCUUGAUAAUGAAUGUAUAUGAAUCGAACUUGUUUAAAUGUCUUUAGAUUGUUGAAGUAUGUCAUUACUCAUGCUUAGUUUAUGGUGUAUUGUUGGUGUAUUGGUAUGAGAGGCUUAUGGCCUUAAAGGCAAAGUAUGAGAAAUUGAAGUGUUAUCAUGACAUUGUAUGAAUGAGAGUUCAAUGAAGAUAAUGUGAUCAUGUUAUGAAUGUAAAGGUGUUGUUGUAGGUUGUUCACUGGUUUGGUUGCAUAAUUACUACCCUAUUUUCCAUGCUCUUUGAUUCCAUUACAUGCCUUCAAGGUGUUUGACAAAAUGUCCAACUAUGGAGAAUUGAUGAAUCGAUGCUUUAAAGCUUGAGUUAUGAGAUGUAUGGAAAUUCCAUAGAUGUGUUGAUGACACUCAUGAAUGUUGAUGAUAUAAUAUGAAGGAUUCUUCAAUAUAAAGUAUACCUUGAAUUGGUAGGGCUUAUGCAUCAUUUUCUUGUAUAAAUGAUUAUAUUGUUGAUUGUUGAAUCCUUGGAUCGGUAGGCUUAUGGCACCCUUCCACACAUGCUUAUAAUGAACCUUGGAUCGGUAGGCUAAUGGCACCCUUCCAUUAAUGAUAAGUAAUGAACCUUGGAAUCGGCAGGCUUAUGGCACCCUUUCAUGUGUUAAAUAAUGUACCUUGAAUCGGUAGGCUUAUGGCACCCUUUCAUGUGUUAAAUAAUGUACCUUGAAUCGGUAGGCUUAUGGCACCCUUUCAUGUGUUAAAUAAUGUACCUUGAAUCGGUAGGCUUAUGGCACCCUUUCAUGUGUUAAAUAAUGUACCUUGAAUCGGUAGGCUUAUGGCACCCUUUCAUGUGUUAAAUAAUGUACCUUGAAUCGGUAGGCUUAUGGCACCCUUUCAUGUGUUAAAUAAUGUACCUUGAAUCGGUAGGCUUAUGGCACCCUUUCAUGUGUUAAAUAAUGUACCUUGAAUCGGUAGGCUUAUGGCACCCUUUCAUGUGUUAAAUAAUGUACCUUGAAUCGGUAGGCUUAUGGCACCCUUUCAUGUGUUAAAUAAUGUACCUUGAAUCGGUAGGCUUAUGGCACCCUUUCAUGUGUUAAAUAAUGUACCUUGAAUCGGUAGGCUUAUGGCACCCUUUCAUGUGUUAAAUAAUGUACCUUGAAUCGGUAGGCUUAUGGCACCCUUUCAUGUGUUAAAUAAUGUACCUUGAAUCGGUAGGCUUAUGGCACCCUUUCAUGUGUGAUGAUGUCAAAGUAAUGAACUAUUCUAUGGGAAUGUAGGCUAAGCACCGAGCGGAUUUGGUUAGAUGGAAACUCCCCCGACAGUUAGGCAUGAGUUUCAAUGAUCGUCUACCUUAUCCCAUAAACUAUGUGCCCGCAUAGGAAGCUAGUGGAUCCAUUAAGCUAUAUAUACCGGUCUUCCUUAGGCAAGUAGACCACCUCUUUUCGGUGUGGGGACUCAUGACACCGGAUUCCAUGACAAGCUCUCAUGGUCUAUGUCGGUUAAAUGCUUACUUCCCAUCAUGUGAGAUUUCAUUAUGGUUUCUUGACAGGUUCUACAAAGUGUAGGUAGUAGUAUGGGAUGCUACCUAUACAUUGCACGAGUAGGCUUGGAGAGGGUCAUAGUGAGUUUCUCUAAAUCCUAAUGACUGUGACAUGAAUGUACCCUAAAUGAGGUUAUUAAAGAAUGUUGGCUCUUAAAUGCUUAAUAUGUUAUGCAUGUUAUACUUGGGUUAUAUUACGAGUUAUUUUCCCUUGUCAUGUCUUAAUUAAUGAUAUACCUCUUAUGUAUGAAUAUUGUGCAAAGGUGAAAGAAAGGAAUGAUAAGUUACUUUAAGUGACCUAAAUGUGGUGCCUUAGUAUGGAUGGUGGUAUGGGACGCCAUCCAUACAUUGCACGAGGUAUAGCAUAAGGGUUUCUUGAGGUGAAGGUCCAAGGUAAAGGUUUUCAUGUUGAUAUUGUUUAAAGGUGAUAUUAUGACUUACUUGAUGUUAUGCUUGUCUUGUAUGUCUUUUAUGCUAUUGUUCAUGAUAUUUCAAAAAGGUGGCAUAAUGCAUGGUUUCUAACUAAAAUGUCCCUUUUAAAGCAUGUUUUGCAUGGUCAUCAUACUUAGUACAUUUUUGUGUACUAACCCAUAUUCUUCAUGUUUUUACUACAAGUGUAGGUUCCGGCAAGUGAUCCCUCUUAGCUAGUUUGAAGUGUUGGAUUGCUUUCCUCCAAGACUUGGUAUGUCCUCAUGGAUUCGAGGACAAGACUUUUAAGUUCUUUUGUUCAUGUAAUAGACUUAAUAGACUUCUUUUGAUUGUAAAGGGCCGUGUCCCUACUUAUGUUUUGCGACUGUGUCUAAGAUGGCCAUGUGAGACUUAGACUUCCGCUGUGUGUUUUUAAAGUUGUUUUAAGAAGUUUAAAUGUGU
This 2656-nucleotide long non-coding RNA is filed under the name Solanum tuberosum (potato). Its description in RNAcentral is "long non-coding RNA (STUB_LNC009181)". Lineage: Eukaryota; Viridiplantae; Streptophyta; Magnoliopsida; Solanales; Solanaceae. The record is from RNAcentral.